UAGGGAAUAUUCCACAAUGAGCGAAAGCUUGAUGGAGCGACACAGCGUGCACGAUGAAGGCCCUCGGGUUGUAAAGUGCUGUUGCAAGGGAAGAACAGUUAGUUGAGGAAAUGCUUCUAAUCUGACGGUACCUUGUUAGAAAGCGAUGGCUAACUAUGUGCCAGCAGCCGCGGUAAUACAUAGGUCGCAAGCGUUAUCCGGAAUUAUUGGGCGUAAAGCGUUCGUAGGCUGUUUAUUAAGUCUGGAGUCAAAUCCCAGGGCUCAACCCCGGCUCGCUUUGGAUACUGGUAAACUAGAGUUAGAUAGAGGUAAGCGGAAUUCCAUGUGGAGCGGUGAAAUGCGUAGAUAUAUGGAAGAACACCAAAGGCGAAGGCAGCUUACUGGGUCUAUACUGACGCUGAGGGACGAAAGCGUGGGGAGCAAACAGGAUUAGAUACCCUGGUAGUCCACGCUGUAAACGAUGAUCAUUAGUCGGUGGAAAACUACUGACGCAGCUAACGCAUUAAUGAUCCGCCUGAGUAGUAUGCUCGCAAGAGUG
RNAcentral lists this ribosomal RNA (538 nucleotides) under uncultured bacterium. Its description in RNAcentral is "bacterial SSU rRNA". It matches the Rfam family "Bacterial small subunit ribosomal RNA", at positions 355 to 896 of the family's 1533-position model. The record is from RNAcentral.